Molecule: ribosomal RNA, 364 nt
Filed under: uncultured bacterium
Lineage: Bacteria
Description: partial 16S ribosomal RNA
Rfam family: Bacterial small subunit ribosomal RNA
Source: RNAcentral
CCUACGGGAGGCAGCAGUGAGGAAUAUUGGUCAAUGGGCGGAAGCCUGAACCAGCCAAGUAGCGUGCGGGAUGAAGGCCCUACGGGGCGUAAACCGCUGUUGCACGGGGAUAACACCCUCCACGUGUGGAGGGCUGCAGGUACCGUGCGAAUAAGGGCCGGCUAAUUCCGUGCCAGCAGCCGCGGUAAUACGGAAGGCCCGCGAGUUAUCCGGAUUCAAUGGGCUGAAAGGGAGCGUCGGCGGGCGUUCAGGUCAGCGGUAAAAUCGCGCGGCUCAACCGCGCCCCGCAGUUGCAACUGGACGCCUUGAUUUCACAACAGGCAGUCGGAUUUCGUGGUGUAGCGGUGAAAUGCAUAGAUAUCAC